RNAcentral lists this unclassified non-coding RNA (201 nucleotides) under Hevea brasiliensis (rubber tree). The record is from RNAcentral. Lineage: Eukaryota; Viridiplantae; Streptophyta; Magnoliopsida; Malpighiales; Euphorbiaceae.
CCAGUACUUCGUCAGGUUUAUCGAGUAGUAUGAAAACCAAAUCAAAUCGAGAGAGGAGAGCAGCACUCAUUUUUAAGUUCUCAUUCACCGUCUUUGCUCGGUUGUAAUGACCACCAACAGGGUUUGCUGCAGCUAAAACAGAAGUUCGUGCUGAUAGACUUGCAAGCAGGCCAGCCUUUGCAACAGAGACACAUUGUUGCU